Molecule: long non-coding RNA, 795 nt
Filed under: Salvia miltiorrhiza (redroot sage)
Lineage: Eukaryota; Viridiplantae; Streptophyta; Magnoliopsida; Lamiales; Lamiaceae
Description: long non-coding RNA (SMIL_LNC008348)
Source: RNAcentral
GAAGCUCUUCCAUUUUAGCACAGAGUUUAAUUUUCUUCGUUCUUUUUUUUCUUCGAAUAUUUUGGAAGGCCAGGUUGGGAAUUAUGCAAUGUUGUAGACUGAACUCGUCUCCCGUUUGAAGUUUUUGCUUGAAGUUGUAAGGCAGAAUACCUUUCGUUGUUUUGUCUUAAGGUAAACAAUUUUGUUUAUGUGUUUCCGAGUUGUGUUUAGUUCCAUUGUUUGCAUUAAUAGUAAAUGUGUCUGUCUUAGUUUGCGCAUUUAAUUUUUUUUCAUCAUCGCAUGGCAUUAUCGAUAAUUGUUAGCGUAUUGUUUUCUGAGCAUUUUCGAAUGUUCUUCAGUAAUAAAUCAUGGCUCAUGUAAUUUAUGAUUGUAAACCCUGAAGUGUAAGUUCGAUCCUAUACAUUGUAAAACUCUUAUUAAUUAUCCGAAAUGACAACAUUAUAUUGUUUGGUGAUUUUGUGGGUAUGUAGUCUGUGGGUUCGCUACUUUGAGGAUGAUAUGUUGCCCUAUUUUCUUGAUAUCCUGUUGUAUUUUCUGAAAGCUUGUUUUUUAUUCGUUUUUUUUUAAUCUGAAAUUUGGGAUCUUUUGGCAGAUUCGUCGUAUUUGCAGUUGGGGCCGAUGAACAUAGAUUUGAAUCUUUCUUUUGGAAAUGAUGGCGUUGAAGAUAGUGUUAGUGGGAGUAAGGGUCCAUCGUCAAUUCUUAACAAUGGCGAUGGAGGUGAGUUUGGAAAAUCGGAAGAAGAAAUUAAUGAGACGAGUAGCUCUCCUGAUGAAAGUGAAUUUGGUUCACAAUCC